GUAAACAUUCCCAACGAAAUUGAAAUUGAUUGGCUUAACGUUAACGUUCCAAUUUGUGGUAUUCAUAAUCUUCCAGAUUCCACUAGGUUGUGUAAUGGAUGUCACUUCUGAAGUCCUAUAAGUCAACGGUGCACCAUGGAAAUUCGUCUAGUUCACCAGAUCAGAGCUGCGUAUGGACAUUGAACAUAAUCAAUAAUCAAAGUCAUCGACCGAACAAUACCACCUGUCUGGGAACUUGCCUGAGAAGCAUUAAAUGUGGAACUCUGAAGUGGGACGACAGGACGUAGCUGUGCAUGGUGGUCGCUAACAAUAAAGUCUAAAGGGUCGAGUACAAUGCUGCGUUUUCACCGACUUCAAUUUCAUCGCAUAUAAAUCCAACCACGGUCCGAUCAUCUGCUGAAGAGUACUAUGCUGUUUCAGUUUUAUGAAAGUAAUCAAAUCUGUACGUGCCUAUAUAGCAGGCUUUGAAUCCAAAUGAGAAUGAGAAAAUCUCUCACUUAUCAUGUAAGCGGCUACACUCUCGAUAGGUAGCAUACCGUGAGAGACGUUUAUCGGUAGCUGUUACGAUAAUUAACUGAUUCGGGGGGGCUACAACCCAUGAUAAAUUUCUUUUAAUAUUCCCCAAUUGCGGGGGGCACCCGUUCUGAUGAAGCAUUUCAACUUGUUUUGCACGGCUGUGCAAAAAAAUAUGGUCCCCAACAUGAAAUGAGCGAGAACAACGCGUUUCAUCAAACCCCAUCGGUGGGGGCCGCCUAUCCGAAUCAGUUUUUUUCCAACGUGUAUUACAAUUGCGAUAGUUUCGUUUUCAUGGUUUG
This is a long non-coding RNA of Armigeres subalbatus, 815 nucleotides long. RefSeq lists it as uncharacterized. Lineage: Eukaryota; Metazoa; Arthropoda; Insecta; Diptera; Culicidae. The transcript has 3 exons. The record is from RefSeq and is a predicted model, not a curated record.